AAAUUAAAUUCCAUGGUUUUUUAGAAAUGAUUUCACGAUAGUAGGAGCGAGUACGAAGCUUGGAAAAGUUGUGGAAUUAGUUCGAACGAUUUUAUUUUCGAAAACGAACGUUUUUAGGGGGUCAACAAAGUUGACUUUUUAUACGUUCAAAAUUUGGGAAAACUUCCUUCAUGAAAGUUGUAGAGCUCGUCGAUACGAGUUCGUGGACAUGUGGAACGCAUUAUUUGGAGUUCGUAUGAAUAAGUUAUGAAUAUUUUAAAAUUGAGAAUUUUCUAUAAAUACAAAAAAUCAGAUUUCUCAAUAAGGAAACCCGAAAAUUUCCAGAUUUUUCUCCUCCUCGCUGCCUUGGCUUCACGGCGUCGCCACGACUUCAUCCGGCCACCUAUGGCCAUGAAAUUGAUAUCAAUCUCUUCGCCUUGAAACCAGCUUUCCAUUCAUAUAUGUCUUGCAUCCUAUCAUUCACCAUAGACAACGAAUCGAAGCAAAGAAGGUCAGACCAUUUUUCAUGCAUUUCUUCAAAUUCCAGCCAACUCCGGCAAAGGUAGGAGGGGAGACCAACUGGGCUUUGUUCGCCUUGCCAUGCUCUAUAAACUCACCAAGUUUCACAUCUCGAUUCAACCCGAGGAAGACGAAUUUCAGAUUUGAGCGAUUUUGGGCGAUUUCGGCCUCUUUCUUCUUGAGGUGAUUGGCGGAUUGAUUUGGCGGACGAUUCGUAAAAUCGUUGUUGAGCUGUUUAGAAGACGCAGCGGGAUUAUCGAGCGGGUAAUCCUACAGGACAGGAGAACCAGGACGGUGACCGUGCGGUUAGAGCAAUUGUUAGAGUUUUACAGCAAUUGUAAGUUGUGAGGUGUGUUAUGCUCAUUUAGAGCUUUACAAUAUUGCUUGUGAGAGUGAAUUGUAAUAAUGAACUCGAGGUUUCGAGAUUUGGAGUUUGUGUACCUUGUGGUGAGAUUAUAUUGAGAAAAAAAUUCAGAACGUUUAUUUGAUUAAGUGGUUUAAUUCAUGUUUCGGAUUUGAAUUUAUUAUUCAAAAUUCGGGGCGUGACAGUUUGGUAUCAGAGCGUAAGGUGCAUAUUUGGUGAUGUGUCAAUACCUUCCGAGUGAUGGCCCGUCUGCAGCGGAUCCCCAUCGUGUGCUCUUUGGUAUUGGCUAAGUCAUUGGGUAUGCGUGAGUGUUGGGAGUUGUUUAGGCCGCUAGGUCGUUUAGGGAACGUGAAUACAUUCCCUAUAGUAUUGACUUGGUUAAUAUGAAUUUGUAUUUGACUUAUACUGUGUUUUAAGUGUUAUACAUGUAUUAGCCAAGCAUACUAUACUCCUUAGGUGAUGGAGAUUCGAAGGGGUUGUACUUAGAACCUUACAGUUGUCUUGUAGGUUCGUAUUGGAAUAAGUUCAGUGGCCGCGAGUUACAAUCCUUGAGGAAUAGGAACCUCUUGAUUCAACUCUGUUAAGUCAACGAGGAUUGUUGUAUGGAAGUGAGGUUCUUUUGGAUGUUGAAGUGUUUGGUUGAAGGCAUGAUGUGGACCUAUGCACGUACCUAGUGUGGA
Molecule: long non-coding RNA, 1542 nt
Organism: Rosa rugosa (rugosa rose)
Lineage: Eukaryota; Viridiplantae; Streptophyta; Magnoliopsida; Rosales; Rosaceae
Exons: 3
Source: RefSeq, a predicted model, not a curated record